UUUUGGACAAUGGACGAAAGUCUGAUCCAGCCAUUCCGCGUGCAGGACGAAGGCCUUCGGGUUGUAAACUGCUUUUGUACAGAACGAAAAGGUUUCUAUUAAUACUAGGAGCUCAUGACGGUACUGUAAGAAUAAGCACCGGCUAACUACGUGCCAGCAGCCGCGGUAAUACGUAGGGUGCAAGCGUUAAUCGGAAUUACUGGGCGUAAAGCGUGCGCAGGCGGUUAUGUAAGACAGAUGUGAAAUCCCCGGGCUCAACCUGGGAACUGCAUUUGUGACUGCAUAGCUGGAGUGCGGCAGAGGGGGAUGGAAUUCCGCGUGUAGCAGUGAAAUGCGUAGAUAUGCGGAGGAACACCGAUGGCGAAGGCAAUCCCCUGGGCCUGCACUGACGCUCAUGCACGAA
RNAcentral lists this ribosomal RNA (403 nucleotides) under uncultured bacterium. Its description in RNAcentral is "bacterial SSU rRNA". It matches the Rfam family "Bacterial small subunit ribosomal RNA", at positions 362 to 757 of the family's 1533-position model. The record is from RNAcentral.